This 463-nucleotide ribosomal RNA is filed under the name uncultured bacterium. Its description in RNAcentral is "partial 16S ribosomal RNA". It matches the Rfam family "Bacterial small subunit ribosomal RNA", at positions 28 to 507 of the family's 1533-position model. The record is from RNAcentral.
GACGAACGCUGGCGGCGUGCUUAACACAUGCAAGUCGAACGGCGACCCUCUUCGGAGGUGCUCAUUCGCGAACGGGUGGGCAACACGUUGGCAACCUGCCCCCGGCUCUGGGUUACCUCCAAGAUAUCGGGGCUAAUAUCGCGCUUUCACCGCUUCCCGCAUGGGUGGUGGUGGAAAGGGUCUUCGGCUGUUGCUGGGCUCGCGGCCUAUCUGCCUGUUGGUGGGGUAGUGGCCUACCAAGCCAACGACGGGUACCCGACAUGGGAGGGGGACCGGGCACAAUGGGCCUGAGAGACGGACCAGACGCGAACGGGAGGCAGCGGUGGGGAAUAUUGCGCAACGAGCGGAAGCCUGACGAAGCGACGCCGCGUGGGGGAUGACGGCCUUCGGGUAGUAAAAAUCUUUCAGCUGAGACGACGCGGUAGUGACGGUACCUGCAGAAGAAGCACCGGCUAACUACGUG